AUGGAGAGUGUUGAAGCUGCAAGUGCGAACUCCGGGAGAGUUGGGAUCAUUGUUUGGACCAAUGCCAUGACAAAAACCAUGCUUGGUUUUUUGGCUGGUCUUGUUGCUGAUGGGAAGAGAACGUCAAGUGGCUUCAGGGACGUGCAUCAUAGACAAUGUGCUAUUGUUUUGAACGAGCAAUUCAAGCUUUCUGUCACUGGAGAGCAAGUCAAAAAUCAUCUCAAGAAGUGGAGGAAGAUUUGGACGAAGGUGGUCAAUUUGAAGAAUUUAAGUGAAGCUCUAUGGGAUGAAGAUACUUGCACAAUUAGGCUCAGCGAGGAGCACUAUGCAGGGCAUUGUAUGGUAUGCUUCUCACCCUACAAAUCCGAUGUCGUUUUAUGUUUGCAUUAUGCUAAUCAUUUUGCACAAUGUUUGUAG
This 417-nucleotide ribosomal RNA is filed under the name Triticum aestivum (bread wheat). Its description in RNAcentral is "partial small subunit ribosomal RNA". The record is from RNAcentral. Lineage: Eukaryota; Viridiplantae; Streptophyta; Magnoliopsida; Poales; Poaceae.